AGGUAAGGCGCUGGCAUCCACCUCCCACGAAAGCCGUCCGGCUUUUUUGCGACCCGGUCCGACCUGGCAGGAGCCAAGCGGGACUGCGCUCCUAAAAUACAAGGAUGUUUUAAGAAAAAAGAAGAUCCUGGUGGAACAUUGCACUAAUAAAACAACAACAACAAAAAAGAAGAAACAAUUAUGAAACAGGAAUAUUUGAAGACAUGAGAUGGAAAGCCUAAUCUGUUGCCAAGACCUAUUAUCCUUUGACUUGAGUCAAACAAUACAUCUUGCUUAUUGAAUCAGGGAGUAGUGUGUGUUUUACGAAGACAGAAAGGAAAAGCACAGAGCUGGCUUUGCCUACAGCAUCCACUGUUGACAGCUAAGUUUGAUGCAGCAGUACAGAAAAAGAGCUAUCAACAAUGCCAACAUCUUCACUUGAGCUAUGGCUGCACAGUCAACUCUUAGAUUUCCUUGGAAAUUUUUCAGCAAGUCAAAAUUUUGUUGGAAACAUCUGCACAGCUUUCAUAAUGCAAGUUACUUGGGCUUUUGAAGUACCUUGAUUUGACAGAGUCCUGUGAGCUCAAAGGACCUGCUGGAAGUGGCUCAGAAGACUGCAGUUAUGCUGAGUCAAUUCUCUGGAGGGGAGAACAGCAUCACUGGUAGACAGAACCUGGCUGGCGGCUGCUGCAAGGUGUGGCUCUGCAUUCUGUUUUGUUUCUUUAGAGGGAUAAUGUUCCAUUGAGAGUAACUGUCUUGUGCACCUCAAGUCCCCUUGAUCAUUAUCAGAUCUGUGCUCCCUUCCUACUCAAUGGGUCAGAGCUGCUCUUUCAUCUGGUUGGUUGAGCUGCAUGGUACAAUCCUCACAGCUUGGGCAGAUCCACCAGAGCUAUUUGUUCACAUCCACUUCAUUGUUAUUAACUUCCCAUCUGCACUGCCCUUCCCCUUCCAGACAGCAGGGAAGGCAGAGAUGGUUAUCCUUACCAGAGAGGAACAGUUCCCUUCGCUGGGAGAGGAGUGCCAAGCAGAUAUUUCAAAUGGAGAAAGUAGCAUGGGACGACAAGGAGAGUGAACUUCUUAGAAAAGAGAAAUUCAGUCAGGUAACAUGGAAAAAGAGAUGGAAAAAAGAAAAGUGCUGGAAAAAGAGGCUUCUUAAAUGCGGUUAGCAUGCUAAAGACUAGUGUCUUCCCAGAUCUCUCAUUGCUUUUGCGUUCAGUUCCUGGAAGUAAUUAUGAGCCUAGUUUGGGGGAUUCAGUUUUGGUGCACCAUGUUUAGAUUUUUCAAACUACCUUUUUCAUCUCUGGGUUAAAUAGGACACAAGGCAUGGUCUAUUAUGUGGCACUUGGAGUUAGGGAGGAGAAGACCCCCAGGGAAUCAUGGGCUGCUUGCACUGUUAAUGUGCUGCCCCCUUACUUACCCACAGAUUGUCAGUGAAAAUACUGGUAUUCAGCCCUGCCAUGGCACAAAAUACGGAAUUUCAGGACUGAAAUUACUGUCCUUAAGUGAACGCUAACCAUGUGACCAGACAGAGGAAUGCGUUUGCUUGGUCAGUAAACAUCUUUUUAAGGGCAUUCACAUAAUUUGGCUUCCAGUUUCUCCUCACCAGGCAGAUUUUAUUUAGUCAAUACCAGAACUAUCAUAGACUGUGCUGUUUUAUUCUGCACAAGACUACUGUUCCCCAUGUUACUGUGCUGGAGCUCUUAGGGGUGCUUGAGGACAAACCCAGGCAUAGGGCAUGAAAAAGCUCAGCUGCUUUACCGGCAUUGCAGCACCCUCAGCAACCUACUCGGAAAGCCCAGAGCUGACUUUGCAUUUUUGGCCUUGAUCUCUGGCACUAAAGUUAAUUGGGAUAAUUCAGAGUUCACACCCAUCUCCCUGAGGGUUUGGUUUAAAAAUACAUGUAAUGUGAGGUUUAAAAUAAUUUCUUUUGAUUGGAAGUAUUUGGAAAUGUUUCUCUCCACUGCUUUUAAAAG
This is a long non-coding RNA of Passer domesticus (house sparrow), 1952 nucleotides long. RefSeq lists it as uncharacterized. The transcript has 6 exons. NCBI's taxonomy places the organism in Eukaryota, Metazoa, Chordata, Aves, Passeriformes, Passeridae. The record is from RefSeq and is a predicted model, not a curated record.